This 103-nucleotide microRNA precursor is filed under the name Marmota monax (woodchuck). Lineage: Eukaryota; Metazoa; Chordata; Mammalia; Rodentia; Sciuridae. The record is from RNAcentral.
GUUCGAAUCUCCAAAGGGUCUUGUUAAAAGGUGAGCUUUGAUUCAUUAGGUCUUGGGAGGGACCUGAGAUUCCAUUUUUGACAAGCUCCCAGGUGAUGCUGCU